GAUGAACGCUGGCGGCGUGCUUAACACAUGCAAGUCGAACGGAGUGCCUUUGAAAGAGGAUUCGUCCAAUUGAUAAGGUUACUUAGUGGCGGACGGGUGAGUAACGCGUGAGGAACCUGCCUUGGAGUGGGGAACAACACAGUGAAAAUUGUGCUAAUACCGCAUAAUGCAGUUGGGCCGCAUGGCUCUGACUGCCAAAGAUUUAUCGCUCUGAGAUGGCCUCGCGUCUGAUUAGCUAGUUGGUGGGGUAACGGCCCACCAAGGCGACGAUCAGUAGCCGGACUGAGAGGUUGGCCGGCCACAUUGGGACUGAGACACGGCCCAGACUCCUACGGGAGGCAGCAGUGGGGAAUAUUGGGCAAUGGGCGCAAGCCUGACCCAGCAACGCCGCGUGAAGGAAGAAGGCUUUCGGGUUGUAAACUUCUUUUCUUAGGGACGAAGCAAGUGACGGUACCUAAGGAAUAAGCCACGGCUAACUACGUGCCAGCAGCCGCGGUAAUACGUAGGUGGCAAGCGUUAUCCGGAUUUACUGGGUGUAAAGGGCGUGUAGGCGGGAUUGCAAGUCAGAUGUGAAAACCACGGGCUCAACCUGUGGCCUGCAUUUGAAACUGUAGUUCUUGAGUACUGGAGAGGCAGACGGAAUUCCUAGUGUAGCGGUGAAAUGCGUAGAUAUUAGGAGGAACACCGGUGGCGAAGGCGACUUUCUGGACAAUAACUGACGUUGAGGCACGAAAGUGUGGGGAGCAAACAGG
This 752-nucleotide ribosomal RNA is filed under the name uncultured bacterium. RNAcentral's name for it is "bacterial SSU rRNA". It matches the Rfam family "Bacterial small subunit ribosomal RNA", at positions 28 to 776 of the family's 1533-position model. The record is from RNAcentral.